CGUAGGGGGCAAGCGUUGUCCGGAUUUAUUGGGCGUAAAGCGCUCGCAGGCGGUUCGUUGCGUCGUGCGUGAAAGACCCCGGCUCAACUGGGGAGGGUCGUGCGAUACGGGCGAACUUGAGGCCAGUAGGGGGACGCGGAAUUCCGGGUGUAGUGGUGGAAUGCGUAGAGAUCCGGAGGAACACCAGCGGCGAAGGCGGCGUCCUGGACUGGUACUGACGCUCAGGAGCGAAAGCGUGGGGAGCGAUCCGGAUUAGAUACCCGGGUAGUCCACGCCGUAAACGAUGAGUACUAGGUGUCGGGGGUAUCGACCCCCUCGGUGCCGCAGCUAACGCGAUAAGUACUCCGCCUGGGGACUACGGCCGCAAGGCUA
This 372-nucleotide ribosomal RNA is filed under the name uncultured organism. Its description in RNAcentral is "bacterial SSU rRNA". It matches the Rfam family "Bacterial small subunit ribosomal RNA", at positions 526 to 896 of the family's 1533-position model. The record is from RNAcentral.